CUAUGACAAUGCAGUUCACCAACUCAAAGAACUUACCAGAAUCUUAUUUCAGUGUUGUAAACAAUGAUGUCAUAUCAGAAUGCUCAGCAUUAAUAUUUAAUAAUUGUUUGGAUCAAACCUGGUUGUUGGAAAUUUUCUAAUCCUUUAUUUUCCUCAUAUUUACUUUUUAAAUAUGUUGAUGUUGGAAUAACAUUGCAGAUAUUACCAAAUAUGAACACUGCAGGAAGAUGAGAAAAUAACCUUUUCUUUCCAGUAGGUGGAGCUUAAGAGCCUUCAGCAACCGAAUGUGAAGUAGAAAAAUGCUUUUCGCAGACGGCCCUCACAGUGACAAACCUUUUGGAGAUCAGCAAUGGUGUCUCUCUCUGCAGUCAUCCUUUUCUUGCUCUAUAUUGGUGAAACCUUGGAGGAUGAUAGUAUCAAAUCUCUGGACUCUGUGAAGCAUGUUGCACUGGGAGGGAGCGCCACUCUCACCUGCAGUUACAGUGGGUCUGUCAGGACAUUGCAGUGGUAUCGCCAAGGUCUCCAUUCUGAGCCACAGUUCCUUCAGUACAUCACCACAUCAGGGAUGAAACACCCUGAGCAUGUUGAAAAUCUGUCAGUGAGGGUUUUGGACAACAUCACACGCCUGGAACUGGAGAUCUCUUCAGCUGAAAUGACUGACUCGGCAAUCUACUACUGUGCUCUGCAGCCCACAGUGACAGGAAAUCAGACAGCCUUAAACAAAAACCUGAUAGGUCCCAAAGAAAUCCUACGAACAUGAGUGAAAGUGUCACAGCGCAUUCAUCUAUAGAUAUUUCAAUACAAUUAUGUUUCACUAGUUUAUCCUGUCUGUAGUAUAGUUAAGGACACGCCUACUAUGGAAGCCUCAGACUAAAGACGUGACAGAUCAUGAUAUAGACACAUGU
Non-coding RNA from Sardina pilchardus (European sardine), 905 nucleotides. The record is from the annotation of a RefSeq genome assembly. NCBI's taxonomy places the organism in Eukaryota, Metazoa, Chordata, Actinopteri, Clupeiformes, Clupeidae.